ACGAUGAAGCCCAGCUUGCUGGGUGGAUUAGUGGCGAACGGGUGAGUAACACGUGAGUAACCUGCCCUUAACUCUGGGAUAAGCCUGGGAAACUGGGUCUAAUACCGGAUAGGAGCGUCCACCGCAUGGUGGGUGUUGGAAAGAUUUAUCGGUUUUGGAUGGACUCGCGGCCUAUCAGCUUGUUGGUGAGGUAAUGGCUCACCAAGGCGACGACGGGUAGCCGGCCUGAGAGGGUGACCGGCCACACUGGGACUGAGACACGGCCCAGACUCCUACGGGAGGCAGCAGUGGGGAAUAUUGCACAAUGGGCGCAAGCCUGAUGCAGCGACGCCGCGUGAGGGAUGACGGCCUUCGGGUUGUAAACCUCUUUCAGUAGGGAAGAAGCGAAAGUGACGGUACCUGCAGAAGAAGCACCGGCUAACUACGUGCCAGCAGCCGCGGUAAUACGUAGGGUGCGAGCGUUAUCCGGAAUUAUUGGGCGUAA
Molecule: ribosomal RNA, 484 nt
Filed under: Micrococcus sp. E15
Lineage: Bacteria; Bacillati; Actinomycetota; Actinomycetes; Micrococcales; Micrococcaceae
Description: bacterial SSU rRNA
Rfam family: Bacterial small subunit ribosomal RNA
Source: RNAcentral